This 335-nucleotide long non-coding RNA is filed under the name Bos taurus (domestic cattle). RNAcentral describes it as "long non-coding RNA NONBTAT000168". The record is from RNAcentral. Lineage: Eukaryota; Metazoa; Chordata; Mammalia; Artiodactyla; Bovidae.
UGUCUCUAGAGGACAGAUAAAAUCUUUGACGGUACGGUUAAAGGAAAUUUUGUUAAGAUGAAAAUCUGAAUCUUGUGUAAUCUAUGAUUUUAGUUGUGUUGAUUACUGGUGUUUAACUCUGCUAUGUUAUAAAGACUACUUUCUUGCGUCUAGGCUUUUAUGCCAAUCAGAGAAUCAGCGAAGUUUACAUUUUAUGUACUGUUACUCCAUUAACCAUACUGUAGUUACAAUUAAUUUUAUUUCUAUUAACUCUGGUGAUGGACUGUAAAUGUAACCUGACUGUAUAGCUUUAAAAAACACUAUAAAUUUGGAGUUGAAUAAACUGUUAAAAAGUC